AAGAUCCAACCGUCAAACAUGUUUGUAUAUACUUCAAGAUCGCAUACGUCAAAAAUUACAAAAAAACAAACAUUCAGAGAUCAAGUAACGGGACAAAACGUUUCGACGGUUAUAAACGAAAAAUCACGAUUUAACGGUCAUUUUAACUCCGAUUUUGAUGUUUUUUUACAACCACACUCCUUGACCCUAUAUGAAUACAAUGAUUGAAUUU
This 211-nucleotide long non-coding RNA is filed under the name Malus domestica (apple). RNAcentral's name for it is "long non-coding RNA (MDOM_LNC011390)". Lineage: Eukaryota; Viridiplantae; Streptophyta; Magnoliopsida; Rosales; Rosaceae. The record is from RNAcentral.